Long non-coding RNA from Entelurus aequoreus (snake pipefish), 440 nucleotides. RefSeq lists it as uncharacterized. The record is from RefSeq and is a predicted model, not a curated record. NCBI's taxonomy places the organism in Eukaryota, Metazoa, Chordata, Actinopteri, Syngnathiformes, Syngnathidae. The transcript has 3 exons.
GCCUAACUGUUUACAGAGACCAGGGUGGCUGACGGUGUGUCUCCGCCUUCCCCACGGCCCCUCUGUCUCCACAGAGAAUGAAGUAGAAGUGAGCGAGGCUGAAUAUUCAUGGCCGGCCUCGCUACCAUUCAUGCAAAUGCAGUGUUGUGAAUUUGAAACCCGGACACGAUCCUAAAAGGAAAUCUAACAUCUCAGCAGGAUUUUCAAUUGGAGUGACAUCUGGACUAUUUGCAGGCCAUGACAUUGACCUUAUGUAUCUUACUUAAAGAAAAGUGUCCACUCUUUUUGCUCCAUGGCAAGAUGCAUUAUCAUCUCGGAAAAUGAUGUCAUCAUCCCCAAACAUCCUUUUAAUUGAUGUUAUAAGAAAAAUGUUCAAAAUGUGAACUUGUGUAUUUAUUGAAGAUGUAAUGACAGCCGUCUCCACAGUGCCAUUACCUGAC